GACGAACGCUGGCGGCGUGCCUAAUACAUGCAAGUAGAACGCACAGUUUAUACCGUAGCUUGCUACACCAUAGACUGUGAGUUGCGAACGGGUGAGUAACGCGUAGGUAACCUGCCUGGUAGCGGGGGAUAACUAUUGGAAACGAUAGCUAAUGCCGCAUAAUAUUAAUUAUUGCAUGAUAAUUAAUUGAAAGGUGCAAUUGCACCACUACCAGAUGGACCUGCGUUGUAUUAGCUAGUAGGUGAGGUAACGGCUCACCUAGGCGACGAUACAUAGCCGACCUGAGAGGGUGAUCGGCCACACUGGGACUGAGACACGGCCCAGACUCCUACGGGAGGCAGCAGUAGGGAAUCUUCGGCAAUGGACGAAAGUCUGACCGAGCAACGCCGCGUGAGUGAAGAAGGUUUUCGGAUCGUAAAGCUCUGUUGUAAGAGAAGAACGGGUGUGAGAGUGGAAAGUUCACACUGUGACGGUAUCUUACCAGAAAGGGACGGCUAACUACGUG
This 505-nucleotide ribosomal RNA is filed under the name uncultured bacterium. RNAcentral describes it as "partial 16S ribosomal RNA". It matches the Rfam family "Bacterial small subunit ribosomal RNA", at positions 28 to 507 of the family's 1533-position model. The record is from RNAcentral.